CACCGGAGCUGACGGACACGGCCGCGACGCUCUGCGGCCUCUGCCCUCAGAGGGAGCCGGAAUCAAGGAAUGCUGAAUUUCACCCCCCCAAACCGGGACACAGGAGCCUCGCCGCCUUUAUUCACAGAAUCACCACGGCACGGAAGAACAGAGCGGCCCCCACCCACCUCACUACAAGCUCCAGUCACGGAGUAGAAUUAUUCUCCAGAUACACCUAUUGAACCUGUUCACCAUCCUGUUUUCUCUGGAGCUUGGCGGAUGUUCUCAGAGGGCCACUUAUUCCCACACUUUACACCAAAAUUUAUAGGGUAUGCUGGCAUUGAACUGACACGUGCCCCUCUCCUCCAAAGCCUUGGUGCGAUCUGCGUGCUCCCAGGUUAGCCCAUUCCUGGACACUGUCGGCUUUGCAGGAUGAGCACCUUGCUGUGAAAAGCACAGUCCCUCCUGCUUGUGUGCUGCUUUCCUGCCAAAUGGAGAUUGUAUGAGUGGUGUGGAAAAUUCAGGUACAAAUACAGAUUCGUGGAUAACCUGCAAUCCAUCACUUGAUGCAUCUCCAACUUUCCUUUUCAGUCAGCUUCAGUACUGGCCAUGCACCAGCCCAUGGCAGAAGAAUAAAAGCAGCUCGGUUAGACCCCCCUGGCUGUUUUCAGGUUGUAAAACAGCUAUCCCAUCUCCUUUUAUGUCACUAUUUUUUAAGCAAAACACUUCUAGAUGUGGCAGUUUCCUAGUUUUUGUAGACAUUUGAUCACAGUUAUGCAACAUUAGGUUACAUUACUCUGGGUGCUUUAAUACUCCUAAUAAUUUUUUUCCAGGUUCAUGAGCAACAGAGCUCACAAUUUGUGGUGGUUGUAAUCUCUCUGAUUUGUGAUCACUUUCCAUGCAGAUGUGCCUGUGUACAGCAAUUUAGGUGCCAUAUAAAUAAAAAUAUUUUGUCAAUA
This is a long non-coding RNA of Zonotrichia leucophrys gambelii, 938 nucleotides long. RefSeq lists it as uncharacterized. The record is from RefSeq and is a predicted model, not a curated record. NCBI's taxonomy places the organism in Eukaryota, Metazoa, Chordata, Aves, Passeriformes, Passerellidae. The transcript has 2 exons.